GCAUCCGUAGCCGGUUCCGUAGGUCCUCUGUUAAAUCCAACCGCUCAACGGUUGACAUGCAGAGGAUACCGCGAGACUAGGAGGCGGGAGAGGCGGACGGUACUCCGCGUGUAGGGGUAAAAUCCUUUGAUCCGCGGAAGACCACCAGUGGCGAAGGCGGUCCGCCAGAACGCGCUCGACGGUGAGGGAUGAAAGCUGGGGGAGCGAACCGGAUUAGAUACCCGGGUAGUCCCAGCCGUAAACGAUGCUAGCUAGAUGAUUCAUUCGCAAGUCGCGAAUGAAGUGUCGCAGGGAAGCCGUUAAGCU
Molecule: ribosomal RNA, 306 nt
Filed under: uncultured archaeon
Lineage: Archaea
Description: bacterial SSU rRNA
Rfam family: Archaeal small subunit ribosomal RNA
Source: RNAcentral